Molecule: long non-coding RNA, 4649 nt
Organism: Pseudopodoces humilis (Tibetan ground-tit)
Lineage: Eukaryota; Metazoa; Chordata; Aves; Passeriformes; Paridae
Source: RefSeq, a predicted model, not a curated record
AGGGAGCCUGGAUGGAUUGUAAUGCACACGGAUAGACAGAAAUGCUCAGCAGAUGAUUUUGCUUAAAUCUCAAAUGCAAACAUGGGAGCAUUUUCCCAAGAUCCUGCAUUUUUCCUGCUGCUAAACAUACUCCAAGAGUUCUCAGGAAAUGAGGACAACAGAAAGCUGCAGAUCCCAUGAAUGUAAAAAUUGUCUUGAAGGCAUGGAACAAUCCAGCCCUAAUUACAGCCAGCUGAAGCCUGCUCUCUUUGCACUGAUACUUAGGAACACAAUGCUGCUUUAAUUUUGCCUGCCCAAGAGUCACGCUGCAUCUUUGCAGUUAAGAUGAAGACAGGUUGGAGGAACAGGCUGAGGAACAGCCUGUAGAACCUACUGGAAGAAUUAAGGACCUUUCCUGGGAAAAGGAGCAGAGCUCUUUGGAGUUUUUCAAGGAGACAGCACUGUCCAGUUCUUUUGGGGUUUCGUUUGUGGGGCUGUUUUUUUUUCCCUCCUCUGGUAUUCUGCUUCUUGUGACUUCAAGUGUGAACACAUUUGUGAGUGACAAAGUUGGCAGAAAGAAGGCAAACACAAAUCAUUUGUAUAGCAGCAGCCACAAAUAACAAGGAGCAAAGUACUUAAACUUCUGUGCAAAGCCUACCAAGGGCACAGGCUGAGCAGCACAACCAGAACACCCUGACAACGAUUAUCACCACAAAAGGACCUUUUAGGACAUCUGAAGGGAAGAUUCUGAAAUAGCUCUGCAGAUGAAUAGCAACGAGUAAAAUUAAUAAGAACCAUCCUAAGAGAAAACACACAUUAUGUGUUUGAAAAUGGACUUAAUGAGAAGGGUGAAUACCCUCUCAUUGAAGGCAGGUAAGGGAAUAGCCACUAAAUUAGACUUCAACUUGUGGCUCAUUGUCUAAAUGGAGAUAUGAGAGAUGAGUCAAAAGCUUACUCUAGAUGGAGAAGAUUGAAUCUUCUCCUAACCAGAGUGUUACCAAACAAUUUGAUUUUGCAGAUGGGAUUGGCCAGAAAUAGGAUGCAAGAGAAGAAAAUGAAUGAGAACUGAGGCCUGCAAAGCCUCCAGGAAUGUUGAGGGGACACCACAAUCCUUCGUAGUUUUGAGAACCUCACACAGCAGCAAAAUUCUUCUUUGCAUAUUUUCAAGUUCUUUGAAAUAAAAAAAAUAGCCCUGAAGGAAAGAGAAAUCAGCCAACACUUCAUGGCAUGGAAUGGUUGCACUGAGAGAUUAUUUAAAGUGUCUGCAUAAGGAGAUGUGUUUGUGUAAAAUGUUAACCCAUUCCAAAAUGUCUUUUUUUUCUGGCUAGAAGAACAAGAGACAGGGAACUCUGUGGAUUCAGGCAGGAUGCUGCAGUUCAAGCAGCUGGCCAGGGGAGGAGGGAUUUCUCCUCCUUUAGUGUCCACCAGCCUGCAGGACCUGUUCUCAAAUUGUGGACACCUCUGGGCAAAUGUCUAUAGGGAACACCAAACCAGGAAACAUUGCCAGAGCUGUAUCUAUAUAAUAAAAUAUCAAGUUACACACAUUUUUAAAUUUUACCUGCAUGCAGGUAUUUGCACUUCUGUCCUAAAAUUCUGCAGGUUUUGCCCAGCAGUACAAAGGGCUCUCCUUGCAUUUCUUUUUUUGCUUGUGGAGCUGCACUCCAACACCUCUGGCACAGCUGGAGAUGGCAGAGAUUCACUGCCACAGCUGGAUAUAAAUCUGGUGUUCCUGUGGCUUGUGAGGAUUACUGAGGUGUUUUAUAGGUGCCACAGAAAACAUUUUAUCUCCAACAUCAGCAUAUUGCACAUUAAAUGGUAGCUAAGGCAACACGUGGCACAGAGAUCACAGAUACAUUUGUCAUUGUACUCACAAGCAGCACAGGGGCUUAAAAAACACAAUCUACCACUCCAAAAGAAAAGACUCAUGCCACUCCACAUCACUUCAGUUCCAGUGCCCGGUACUAUAGAUUAAUUUAAAACAUUUGAAGUUAAUUGACAAAGAUGAUGUGCAAUCCUUUUUAGCCGCUGCUCCAAAGAGGCAAUUCACACGGAUGGAGUACAUGGAGCUGCACAUGAGUCCCUCCAUUUUCCCUUGGCUUUCUGUGGAGGCUCAGGCAGCAGAAGCUCCUCUGCAUGGAAAGAGCUGCCAUGUGCCUCGCUCCCCUCGCCUGUCCUCGCAGCACAAAGGGCAGGAAUGCUCAAGAAAUGAAUCACAAACAUCCCAGCUCUCAGUGCCAGGGCUGGAGCAGCUCCCUGGCCUGUCAGGCUGAGUGACAGCCAGGGCUAAAGGGACACCUCCUCACAAGAUGAGGAACAGGAAGGCCAUUUCAAACCCCUCCAUCUGAAUUAUGAUUGCCGACUGUAUAAGGAGGCAAAACCGGAAGCAAAUCCACAAGGAGACAAAGCAUCAUUUGGGAAAGGUUUUUCCUAUUCAUGUUGAUUGCAAGUGAACUCUUCCCGAGCCGUGAACAACUGGUGAUGCUUUAGUGUUCAGUACAUGGCCUGAUUUUAUCAUAGAAACUCGUCCUUGCCUUCAGCUGCCUGUCAGGUUUGCCAAGCUGAUAGCAUUCUGGCAACACUUGCGCUGUUUAAUGUCUCAGCAUGUUGUAUCUUGGACACAAACCCCUGCAAAAAUACCUAAUUAUAAAUAUUUACAUUUGUUAUCCUUUUUGCAUGAUACAGUAAAGAGAGGGAAAAUAGAUUCUUUCCACUGAAUCAGUAAAGCAUGACAACAUCACAGGGUCAAUAUCCAUGACCAAAGCAUUCAAGGGGAUUGGAAUCCCCUUGAGUGGGAUUCCACAGUGCUCCCACACAGGGUAUGCAGGCCAGCUUUGCCCAGGAGGCUGCAGGGAGCACCUGGCCCAGAAAACACCAGGAAUUCCAGGAAUGGCCCCAGAGGGACAUUGCUGGUGGCUGAGCUCCUGAGAGGCCACUCAGGUGGUGGCAUUUUGAGGAGUCAUUACCCAGCCAAGGAAGAGACGUGCUCUUCUUUCAGAGUAAUAACUCCUUCACUUCCAAAUUGUCUCCUUGGGCAAAGAAAUGCUGCACACAGAAUAGAUCCACUCUUGAAGGAUACAGGGAAAGCAUCAGUACAGGGAAUGUGCAGCCCUUGACAGAUAUGUUAAUACAAAUUCACAGAGGUACACAACAAACUCCAAAAAAGUUUAAAAGUCAAAACUUCUGAUACUUUAAAAAAUAUUAAAUACACGAUGACUGUUUAAAAUAGAACUGAUUCAUGGGGAGAAAGGAAGCACUUAAUGACUUGCUCAUGCUUAAGGACUCUUAAAUAAAACAAGUAUCUGUUACUCAUGCAUUUGAAGGAUUUGCUACUCUCGAGCUACUGAUUUGAAAAGCUUUUGACACAGCAAGAUGAAGACACAUCCCCAAGGGCUGCUGUGUGAGCUGAAAGCCUGUGUGCUCUCAAACACUCUUCCUUUCAUUGAAGAAGGGAAAGAUUAGCAAGAGGAAUUAAAAAAAUAAAGACUUAACUGUUUUGGCUUUGGAAAUGAGGUUUCAAUAAGAUUUUCUGGCCUGAAGAAUCACCAAAGAACCCCAAACUAUCAUGUGAAGAAGUAGUGAUGGAAUUUGAGACCAUCAGAGGCUAUCCAGGCCCUGGGCUGCAUCUCUCCUUCUGCUAUUUUUAUUCAUUAAUUGUAGGCCUAAUAUUACAAACCCAAUACUAUUUCAUAAGAGGAGAAAAUUAGAAAAAACAGAAAUUACUAUUAGUCACCCUCCAUCCUUAUGAAUGAAUCAUACAGUACAAACUUCAAACACGGGGCUUAUCAAGGCUUGGCCAAAAUGCAAUUUUUGGCUAUGGGAUAGCAGGCAGCAACAAUGAAACAACACAAGCCUCUGCUCCAUUUUUACUGCUCUGUGCUCCAACAAUUUCUUCUCUCAACAGCUACUGAAAACCUAGACUUUUAUUGGUAUUUCACAUUCACAAAACCCUAUGAACAGCUGAAUGUGGCUUUCCAGAGGGCUCUUGGCACAGCCACACAAGCUCAGGUAGCAGCAUGGACGCAGGGAGAAGGAAAAGCUGGCAGUCUUUGGCAAAACAAAAAACUGAGAGCAACAAUAAACAACCCCCAAUCCCAAACCCUCAAAUGUCUGUUUAGGCAGCUUUCUUUCACAAACUAACCCCAAAACUUGCACUGGGAUUGCAAUUCGCAUUUCAACCCAUUCUCCCCCCAUCCCCGUUUGCUGUUUGCCCAGUUUUAUUAGAACCAUCUGCAAGAUCUUCCCCUUCCAGUUUCUUGUGUCGGUUCAUCUGGCAGCUGCACUUUUUCAUCUAUUGAAAAAAAAAAUCUUUGUUUCAAAUUUGUUGAGACAGAAGGUCUUUGACAGGCUAAAAAUUAUCUUGAAAAUCAACACAGAAACCACAUCAUAUGCUGUUCUUUACAGACUGAAGGGGAAGAAUGGCAGCUAGAAUAUAUAUAUAUUAAUGGGAAGAUAAAAGAGGGUUUUGGGGGUCAAGAAAAAUUUUACCAACUCAAUUUAUCUGACAAAAGCCACAAUUUACUGAAGUACUGUAAGUUGCCACUGCAGAAGCAUUUCAGGCUCUGCAUUAUUGCUGACAGGAACAAGAGAAAUACAGAGAAAUAUUUCCUUACAGCAGCUCUUGGCAAAACAUAAGCAAGGGGAGUGCUAAGGGAAGGAGGAAUGUUGGUGAA